Molecule: ribosomal RNA, 253 nt
Filed under: uncultured bacterium
Lineage: Bacteria
Description: partial 16S ribosomal RNA
Rfam family: Bacterial small subunit ribosomal RNA
Source: RNAcentral
UACGAAGGGGGCAAGCGUUGUUCGGAAUCACUGGGCGUAAAGGGUGCGUAGGUGGUUAUGUAAGUUGGAUGUGAAAACCCCUGGCUCAACCAGGGAUCUGCAUUCAAAACUGCAUGACUUGAGUACGGGGGAAGAGAGUGGAAUUCUCAGUGUAGCGGUGAAAUGCGUAGAUAUUGAGAAGAACACCUGUGGCGAAAGCGGCUCUCUACCUUGAUACUGACACUGAGGCACGAAAGCUAGGGUAGCAAACGGG